Molecule: transfer RNA, 101 nt
Filed under: subsurface metagenome
Description: tRNA-Ser
Source: RNAcentral
GGUUACCCCUCGGCGGUGCACAUGGCGCCUGAGUAUCUGGAGGAUGUUCAGGCUGGGCUGCGAGUCAAGCGCUUCGGCGUUCGACUCAUGGAGCUUACCGC